RNAcentral lists this ribosomal RNA (429 nucleotides) under Bacteroidota bacterium. RNAcentral describes it as "Bacteroidetes bacterium partial 16S ribosomal RNA". It matches the Rfam family "Bacterial small subunit ribosomal RNA", at positions 355 to 776 of the family's 1533-position model. The record is from RNAcentral. Lineage: Bacteria; Pseudomonadati; Bacteroidota.
UAGGGAAUCUUCCGCAAUGGACGCAAGUCUGACGGAGCAACGCCGCGUGAGUGAAGAAGGAUUUCGGUUCGUAAAACUCUGUUGUUAGAGAAGAACAGCGCAUAGAGUAACUGUUAUGCGUGUGACGGUAUCUAACCAGAAAGCCACGGCUAACUACGUGCCAGCAGCCGCGGUAAUACGUAGGUGGCAAGCGUUGUCCGGAUUUAUUGGGCGUAAAGCGAGCGCAGGCGGUCAAUUAAGUCUGAUGUGAAAGCCCCCGGCUCAACCGGGGAGGGUCAUUGGAAACUGGUUGACUUGAGUGCAGAAGAGGAGAGUGGAAUUCCAUGUGUAGCGGUGAAAGGCGUAGAUAUAUGGAGGAACACCAGUGGCGAAGGCGACUCUCUGGUCUGUAACUGACGCUGAGGCUCGAAAGCGUGGGUAGCAAACAGG